AACGAACGCUGGCGGCAUGCUUAAACACAUGCAAGUCGAACGGACUUGGUAGGGCUUGCUCUACAAGUUAGUGGCAGACGGGUGAGUAACGCGUGGGAAUGUACCUUUUGGUCGGAAUAACUUCGGGAAACUGAAGCUAAUACCGGAUAAGCCCGUGAGGGGAAAGAUUUAUCGCCGAAAGAGCAGCCCGCGUUAGAUUAGGUAGUUGGUGGGUAAAGGCCUACCAAGCCUACGAUCUAUAGCUGGCUGAGAGGAUGAUCAGCCACACUGGGACUGAGACACGGCCCAGACUCCUACGGGAGGCAGCAGUGGGGAAUAUUGGACAA
Molecule: ribosomal RNA, 326 nt
Filed under: uncultured bacterium
Lineage: Bacteria
Description: bacterial SSU rRNA
Rfam family: Bacterial small subunit ribosomal RNA
Source: RNAcentral